This 77-nucleotide transfer RNA is filed under the name Bifidobacterium catenulatum. RNAcentral's name for it is "tRNA-Leu". It matches the Rfam family "tRNA". From Rfam's summary of the family: Transfer RNA (tRNA) molecules are approximately 80 nucleotides in length. The record is from RNAcentral. Lineage: Bacteria; Bacillati; Actinomycetota; Actinomycetes; Bifidobacteriales; Bifidobacteriaceae. RNAcentral also lists the same sequence under 35 other names.
GCCCCUGUAUCCCAAUUGGUAGAGGAGACAGCCUCAAAAUCUGUACAGUGUGGGUUCGAGUCCCACCGGGGGCACCG